Molecule: ribosomal RNA, 787 nt
Filed under: uncultured bacterium
Lineage: Bacteria
Description: bacterial SSU rRNA
Rfam family: Bacterial small subunit ribosomal RNA
Source: RNAcentral
GCGUAUCAUCUGGGUAAUCUUCCUUGAAGCCCGGAAUAACUCCCCGAGAGGGGUGCUAAUGCCGGAUGACACCACGGGAUCUCCGGAUCCUGAGGGAAAAGGCGGCCUCUGUACACAAGCUGUCACUCCAAGAUGAGCCCGCGGCCCAUCAGCUAUUUGGCGGGGUAAUGGCCCACCAAGGCUACAACGGGUAGCUGGUCUGAGAGGACGAUCAGCCACACUGGAACUGAGACACGGUCCAGACUCCUACGGGAGGCAGCAGUGGGGAAUCUUGCGCAAUGGGCGAAAGCCUGACGCAGCAACGCCGCGUGUGUGAUGAAGGUCUUCGGAUCGUAAAGCACUGUCGGGAGGGACGAAUAAGGCGGCGGCUAAUAUCCGCAGCCGAUGACGGUACCUCCAAAGGAAGCACCGGCUAACUCUGUGCCAGCAGCCGCGGUAAUACAGAGGGUGCAAGCGUUGUUCGGAAUUAUUGGGCGUAAAGCGCGUGUAGGCGGCCUUGCAAGUUGGGUGUGAAAGCCCUUGGCUUAACCGAGGAAGUGCGCCCAAAACUACAGGGCUUGAGUACCGGAGAGGGUGGCGGAAUUCCCGGUGUAGAGGUGAAAUUCGUAGAUAUCGGGAGGAACACCAGUGGCGAAGGCGGCCACCUGGACGGAUACUGACGUUGAGACGCGAAAGCGUGGGUAGCAAACAGGAUUAGAUACCCUGGUAGUCCACGCUGUAAACGAUGAGCGCUAGGUGUUGUGGGUGUUGACCCCUGCAGUGCCGCAGCUAACGCAUUAAGCGCUCC